This 2413-nucleotide unclassified non-coding RNA is filed under the name Monomorium pharaonis (pharaoh ant). RNAcentral describes it as "uncharacterized LOC118644880, transcript variant X1". Lineage: Eukaryota; Metazoa; Arthropoda; Insecta; Hymenoptera; Formicidae. The record is from RNAcentral.
AUCAAUAUUUACAAUAUAUUUACAAGGUAUCUAAGACGUUAUUAUUAUCCAAUUGUGAUGGAAGCGAUUAAGAAAUUCAUCGUAGCGGAAUUUGCUGAUGGUCUUCAAAUCAUACCUGCAAAAUGGCUAAAUACCUCGAGAAACAAAUGUAUCUGGCCCAGUCAUUACAAAACAAUGCGCCGUUUACAUUCAGCGAUAAUUACAGAAGAGCUGCCUAAAGAUGAAACUGACUGGGAUAAAUUACUCAUAAAAAGAAUCUUUGGAAGCGCAGACACUUAUGAAAAAGCCAUGGAGAAAUUAACACUAGCGCAAGAUACAUCAAAUGUAGAUACUGGGUUGUCAUCUGACGAAUUAAAACAGCGCAACAAAAAAAGGAGGCGUGAGAAGGCUAAACGAAAAUUGUCCUCUUCAUUGGAAGAUGAUUUACUUUGUUUUACUGAAAAUAAAGAAAAUUAUCCACACGGGAAUAAACAGCUACCACCAUUUCCUGAAUUGGACAAGUUUACACAGAAAAAACAAAAAUCUUAGCCACAGCAAAAUCUUGUUCAUUAUGAGGUAAAUAAUAAUUAAACUAACUAGUUUUAAUAUAUAAUACUUUAAGUCUUUAAGAGAUACUGCAUUUUUAUUUGUGAAAAUAAUAUUUUUUUAUAGGCCAACGCAAGCACGAGUGCACUAACUGAAGCAGAAAAGUGUACAAGUACCAAACAAAUUAGUAACAACCAAGAGGAACGAACAAAUAAAAAUGCUGUGAUUAAUGGUAAUUCUUCUAGAAUAGAUAAUAUCUAUCUCUUAUAAAUGCAAAAAGUAAAGGAAUACUAUUUAUUUAAAAUUCAUAUUUUUAUCGUUUAUCAUUAUUGGAGUGCGAGACUUUGUGGUGUCGGUGAGCCGGGCCUUACCCCUAUCACGACCGGCAAUGUCGCGGAUAGCAGCGGCGCACAUGCGCUGCUUGUGGAGGGGAGAACGCCGCGUGCGUGACCUACCUCACUCUCUCGUCGUUCGUAUCGGGACGUGUUCGUAUCGGUACUCUGUACGAUUGAAGUAUUUUUGUGUUAAGUGUUAAAGAGGAAUAAAGAGUAUAGAGAAACCACAUGCAGGAUCUUUUUCGCAGCACACCCUCGAAACCUAAUAUCCUUCAAUCAUAUCAGACCAUGAUAUUUAAGACCGCAGUUUAAUAUUAUCACAUAUUAUUAUUACAAUAAAUAAUUUAUUCUUACACAAAUGUUUUUUUAGUUCCUUUAGAGUUUCAGAAACAAGUUGUGUCAAAACUAAAUAAAUUGAUUUACAAGUUAAGUACAAUAGAAAAUCGCCUAGAUGAAUUAAAAGAACACGAAUUGUCUGAAACUUAUCAAACUGAUUGUACUGAAUUAGAAUCUUGGCUCCCUGUAAAAACUCUAGAAGAACUUACAAAAUUCGAAGAAAAAUUAAAAGAAACACAUUUUAAAAAUCAAUUGGUAAGAUGUACACAUAAUAUUAAAACUUGCUGGUAAUAUUUAUUUAAUGUUUAUAUUAUUUGUUUUUCUUUUUUAGUUGAAUACCUUAAAACUUCUUGGAGGAACAUCAACUCAUGUAAUGAUAGGCAAUGUAAUGAAAAAAAUACUAACCAACGAAUUGUCGGUUAAAUUUAGUUGGGCCGGGAUGAAGGGAAAACAAGCAUUUAAGAACCAGAGUUUGAUGAAAAUUAUUAUGCGUACGUUUUCUAUUUUUCAUUAGAUAUUUUUAUAUAAAAAACGUUACCAUUUUGUCUCUUUUCUCAAUUUUGAAAUAUUUAUUUACGUCGACAAAUUAUUUUUCAGAAUCAGUUCGACUAGUACCGCAAUACAGUCAAAUAUUGGACUCGGAAUUAACAGAAAUAAUGGCAAAAUGGCUGGCCAUUAUGGUUGCAAAGAGAAAGAAAACGUACUUCAAUGGAUCAUUGAAACUGAAAAAGAAAUAUGCAGCUAGAAUCCUGAUUUUGUUUAAAACAUUUACGUUUUUUCCUAUAAAUUUUAUAUACAUGUAAUAUUUUAUAUGAGAUUUUGGACAUCAAUAAAUUUAAAAAGAAAAAAAAAAUUUUAAUACAAUAGAAAUAUUAUUUUUACUGUUUGUUGCAAAUACAUUCCCCUGCAACAUAAAUGCAAUAUUGCAAAGCAAUAUUACCAAAGCGGACAUUUUUUCUUUGUCACAAUAUUGCUGCAACGUUGCAGCUACAUUGUGCAAUCACUCUGCAAUAUUACAAUAUUGCGGUGCAAUAUUUCUGCAAUCUUUCUGCAAUCUUUCUGUGCUAUAUGGGAUUAUAUGUUUUUAAAUACAAUUAGAUCAAAUUUUUAAUGGGUUCCAUUUAAUGAAUCACAUUUUUGUGGUAAAUAUGGUAAAUUAAAAUAGAUUUUUAUGAAUAAAAGAUUAUUUACUUAUACUUGUAUUCAUUUACAUAAAC